AGGAAAUUUGAGAGGAGCUGUCCUUAGUACGAGAGGACCGGGAUGGACGUACCGCUGGUGCACCAGUUGUUCCGCCAGGAGCAUGGCUGGGUAGCUACGUACGGACGGGAUAAGCGCUGAAAGCAUCUAAGCGUGAAGCCCCCCUCAAGAUGAGAUUUCCCAGUAUGUAAGACCCCUUGAAGACGACGAGGUAGAUAGGUUGGAGGUGGAAGCACGGCAACGUGUGGAGCUGACCAAUACUAAUCGGUCGAGGGCUUAUCCAA
This 263-nucleotide ribosomal RNA is filed under the name Paenibacillus jilunlii. RNAcentral describes it as "23S rRNA. Bacterial LSU". It matches the Rfam family "Bacterial large subunit ribosomal RNA", at positions 2655 to 2925 of the family's 2925-position model. Lineage: Bacteria; Bacillati; Bacillota; Bacilli; Caryophanales; Paenibacillaceae. The record is from RNAcentral.